GGGUGCCAAUCGAAAAGAACACUUAAUCGAAAAAGAAUUAACGAUUUUAUUUUUCUCACGAAUCAUUUUCGAACAUCCAAAGCUGCACAGUCGACGCGAAACUGCAUCAUUAUUUUACAAAUAUUGGGAAUGACAUACACGUUAAAUGUAACGUACUCUGAAUUACUUACUUCAGGCACGGCCAACAGUAAAUGAUGCCUUCGAAGAUUAUCUUCGAAAAUACGAGGUGUUAUUCUACAACCGAACGCGUUGAUAAACAAAGUGAAUCAAAGAGAAAGGCGAUCAGAUACUUCCUUACCUUUGGAAUACAAACUCUUGGGCGAAUUAAGAUCCAAAUCCGCGCUGAGAAGCGAGAUGAAAUCAGAGGGCAUCACCUGGAGAAGGGAGGAAGAGUCAGGACCCCUCCAACGGAAUAGAUUCUGUUAAAUCUGUUCUUCGUUACCAUUUAAUUAUUAAUCCCGCUUUAGUGAACAAAGACCUUCUUCAGAUUCUCCUUUCUCCCCAAGGUAAAGAAGCGUUUGGAAAUUCAAAAUAAAAUUAGAAGCCAGGCGUGCAAACGAACUGCGUGUUUCUAGCUAAAAUGGCUGCAUUUGGUCUCCAGUGAAGGAAAUGGAAAGUGUUGGCUCUCUUAUGUGUAAUCUCGCCAUACAAACUGCAUGAGACGGCUAGUCUCCGCUCCUUUUAGUCAUCGGCUCCAACCGACGUCUUCCAGCCGUCGCUGCCGCGCGCUCACGUCACCGGGCGGCGCACGCGCACUGGUCCCGGGAAUCCGAGCUUCUGGAAGUUGUGGUGCCCGUAAUGGAGUAUACAAGCAAAAUGAUGCGCAUGUUAGAAAUCUGAAAUUUUAAAAAAACGUGCCGAGAGGAAAAGAGGACGACUCAGGAAAUUCUUCUUGGACUACAAACGUUCACCGCUUUCUAACCUGCGCAGUGUUUCCAACACUUUCCUUCCUUUUUUUCCUAGCAUGAUAGGCCCCUAACCCCCCCCCCCCGCCUUUUGUGAACGUGAACACACAGAGGGUACCUACAUGGAAAGGGAGGACAGUAAUGUAUGAGAUUAAAAAACGGCAGCAGUGAACUCCUUCAACCUGCUCUUAUCCGUCAGAGCAGAAGUGUGACAUCACAGAAAAUGAUGAUAGGAAUUCAAACUGAAAAAAAAAGUUUCCUGAAACAAAAUGGAAUUUAUGAAGGAUGCUGUUGGAAGAACCAUAAACAAGUGUACUCCAUGAAAGAGGUAAAAUGAUUAAGUACAUAAAUGGAAUCCACUAGUGAUUUGGAAAAACAAAAAAAAAUUGUUUUGUUGCAUGUGUUCUGUCAGACUAUUUAUUGGAUGCAGCUUUUGUACAAAUACAAAGCUCCUUUUAAGGGGCAGUUAAAUUGACGUUUUCAACUUUACCAAAGACGGAACUCCGGAAGUGAAUGAUGGUUUAAUACUACUUGUUUAAAAUACUUGACAUAUAAAGUGGUAAUUCUGAAGUGUGUUAGAUCAAACUCUUCACCAUAUUACCACCAGUAUUUCAUUCAGAUGAGAGGCACUUGCGGUGCAGU
Long non-coding RNA from Stegostoma tigrinum, 1547 nucleotides. RefSeq lists it as uncharacterized. The transcript has 3 exons. Lineage: Eukaryota; Metazoa; Chordata; Chondrichthyes; Orectolobiformes; Stegostomatidae. The record is from RefSeq and is a predicted model, not a curated record.